CGGGGUGUAGCGCAGUUGGUUAGCGCACACGUCUGGGGGGCGCGAGGUCGCUGGUUCGAGUCCAGUCACCCCGA
RNAcentral lists this transfer RNA (74 nucleotides) under Prevotella sp. RNAcentral's name for it is "tRNA-Pro". It matches the Rfam family "tRNA". Rfam says of the family: Transfer RNA (tRNA) molecules are approximately 80 nucleotides in length. Lineage: Bacteria; Pseudomonadati; Bacteroidota; Bacteroidia; Bacteroidales; Prevotellaceae. The record is from RNAcentral. RNAcentral also lists the same sequence under 4 other names.